Molecule: ribosomal RNA, 433 nt
Filed under: uncultured bacterium
Lineage: Bacteria
Description: partial 16S ribosomal RNA
Rfam family: Bacterial small subunit ribosomal RNA
Source: RNAcentral
AAUGAACGCUGGCGGCAUGCCUAACACAUGCAAGUCGAACGAAGGCUUCGGCCUUAGUGGCGCACGGGUGCGUAACGCAUGGGAAUCUGCCCCUUGGUUCGGAAUAACAGUUAGAAAUGACUGCUAAUACCGGAUGAUGACGUAAGUCCAAAGAUUUAUCGCCGAGGGAUGAGCCCGCGUAGGAUUAGCUAGUUGGUGUGGUAAGAGCGCACCAAGGCGACGAUCCUUAGCUGGUCUGAGAGGAUGAUCAGCCACACUGGGACUGAGACACGGCCCAGACUCCUACGGGAGGCAGCAGUGGGGAAUAUUGGACAAUGGGCGAAAGCCUAAUCCAGCAAUGCCGCGUGAGUGAUGAAGGCCUUAGGGUUGUAAAGCUCUUUUACCCGGGAUGAUAAUGACAGUACCGGGAGAAUAAGCUCCGGCUAACUCCGUG